GAGGGUAUAGCUCAGUGGUAGAGCGCAUGCUUAGCAUGCAUGAGGUCCUGGGUUCAGCCCCCAGUACCACUA
This 72-nucleotide transfer RNA is filed under the name Camelus dromedarius (Arabian camel). It matches the Rfam family "tRNA". Rfam says of the family: Transfer RNA (tRNA) molecules are approximately 80 nucleotides in length. RNAcentral also lists the same sequence under 2 other names. The record is from Rfam by way of RNAcentral. Lineage: Eukaryota; Metazoa; Chordata; Mammalia; Artiodactyla; Camelidae.